UUAGAACGCAUAGCUCGUUCGUGAGUGUCGCGUAUUAAAUCGUGUUAAUGCUAUUAUCAAUAGUCUACAAGUGUCUUUUGCGACGGUGAUAGUGAAUUGCUAAACAUGAAACUUGAUUAUCAAGUUCUACAAGAUUGAAGAAAACACGCCAUAUUACACAUAUUUCUUUCUUAGUGAUUUAUUUCAUUUUGAUAUUAAUCUAAAUUCUCAAUUUCUGGGAAACGAAUUCUGUAUUCAUAGAUCCAUUUAUAAGUUUUAGAAUGAUGUGCGCAUUUGUCACCAAGUAAAACAACUAGGUGUAACUUUUGGCAAUUUCACCAACGACUUUAAAUAAAUCGCUUUAAAUAAAUUCUACGUAAACGACAUCUAUAUUAGAAAAUGUUAACAACAUGAGUGUAUAACAGCAUAUGUGAAUUUUGCACGAAGCACUUUCAACCUGUUUUCAACGCGUUCCUUGUUGUUUUAAAGGAGAGACAGAUAAUCAUCAAAAUGGCGAUGAUAACGAGUUAUUGGACUUUAGAUAGUCUAAUGAUUUUAAUAACACUCGUGCUGGCCGCAUAUCUUUAUAUGACUCGCAAAUUCAACUACUGGAUAAAACGAGGCGUUUUCGAGAUAAAACCGUUGCCAUUUUUUGGCAACCUCAUGAACGCUAUACUUUUUA
Molecule: long non-coding RNA, 661 nt
Organism: Odontomachus brunneus
Lineage: Eukaryota; Metazoa; Arthropoda; Insecta; Hymenoptera; Formicidae
Exons: 3
Source: RefSeq, a predicted model, not a curated record